UCCUGUAUUUAUUUGUAUAUUUAUUUAUUGACAUACGUAUGUUGCAGGUUGGUUUUCAUGGAAAUAAAACAAAGAUAUCAACCUGAAACCUGCUGGACAGUCAGUGAAGUCAUCGUCAGCGAUGUGUUUAAUUAUGGGAAAUAUGGGGCACUUUGUCGCUCAGUGGGUGGAGCGGGCGGUGUCCUUGAAACAGCGGCUGUAGGUUCAGUUCCAGCCAGCGCCCUUUUCUGCAGGUCACGUUAGCAUGUUGUAUUUGUUUGGAUAAAGUGUCAGUGAAUCUUGUGAGUUGUAAUGAAGCCGAAUUUUGUAACGUUACCUUUGUUAAAUGUUGCUGUUGUUCAUAUUAGAGGAGGAAAAGUCUGCUAGCUGCUAGGCUAAUUUAUACAAUGUAAAAUGCCAUAGGCUUGUGCUAAUAACGUUAGCAUGUUGUAUUUGUGGGGAAAAUGUGUCCAGAUAAAGACAAGUGUUUGUCUGUGAAUGCUGCGAGUUAUAGUGAAGCUGAUUUGUGUUUGAAACUGUCUCUAUUAAGCCAUGUUUAAUGUGUGUUUAAUGUGUGUUUGAAUCAACUAAACUUUACAGCACUUCACAGAAACCCUGCUGUCGACUAGUGUUUUGGAGGUGUAACUGCAGAGCGACACAGACACACCACCACACAAGUACAAAUGUUGACAGCAGCGUAGGCUCUUCUGCACAAGUAUAAAUCCCGCUUCAGCCAACAUGAGGCGGACACCCGACUUGCUGAGCUCAAGGUCGCCUCCAGAACUGACCGAUAAAGUUAGAAUGAAACGUCUCAGUUUGACCACAGUCGUCAUGAGUUUUAAUCGCACAGUGCAGGUGUUUCUGUUAUUUUGUCCACCCCUCUUUGUGCGUGUGUAGGUGGUCUCACUCAUGAGCAGUUUUAUGUGUGUUUCAGAUGUAGUGAUAAUUCGGGUGAAGAGGAACCUGCAGCCUGUCGUUGCUCUGCAGCGUCUCCGUCUCCUCUGAGGGGAAGUUGAGUCACUCGAGUGGAGAAAAUUUCAACUUUCAUUUCUGCUUUUGUGUUUCUUCACUUCUGCCCCAAACCCAGCCUGACUCUGGUUGCAUAAGGAGAAAAUCAGAAAGUAACAAACUCCAGGGCGGAGCACAAACGAACAUACCGCAAUAAUAACCACUGUUUUCUCUGUGAGCGCAGGACUUUUGUUUCUGCAGCAGCAUCCGCUCAGUGUUUAAGAUUCUCACACAUAAACAGAAACAGGUGUUCAUUUCAAAACGUUAAAAUCCUCCUCUUCUCUUAGGUCUAUCUCAGAUCAUCAUCUGACCAAUCAGCAUAGGCGGUUUGUCCUCGGAGCAGAGACACAGGACGUGGUUGGAGGGGAGGAGCCGAGCCAACAGGAAGACAGGAGGAAACCUUAUAAGAUUUCUGCUGACCCCAGCUUUAACUUGGGACUCGACUUGAGCCUUGCUGUCUUCACUCAGGACUCGCUGGUCUUGACUUGUGACCUCCUGAGUGAUGUUGUGUUUUCACUUGUGACAAGUAUGUUGAAAAGUGUCACCAUGACCUUUAUUUUGAAGGGCCACACACACCUGCUGUUAACUGAAUGUUCAGUUUCAGGUUCCUUGUUUACACUGCUGAAAUAUUUUAACGGUCAUUUUAAGGGAGAAUCAGCAGCUGAGUUUGACCCUCGACAGACCAAAUGUUUCCUCUCCUCAGUCUGCUUUUGUUUCCAGGCGGCUCUGUGCUGCCACUUGGUGGUGAAACAUCUCACACUCUGUGGCAGGUUUCCAGAGCAGCUGACAGUGCCAACACAUCGAGUAUGACAAACCCUGCUGACCCAGGCUGUGAUCUGCUCCUCCGCUAGAAGAACCAGAGGGAGGUGACGGGAC
Epinephelus fuscoguttatus (brown-marbled grouper) is the source of this 1863-nucleotide long non-coding RNA. RefSeq lists it as uncharacterized. The transcript has 3 exons. NCBI's taxonomy places the organism in Eukaryota, Metazoa, Chordata, Actinopteri, Perciformes, Serranidae. The record is from RefSeq and is a predicted model, not a curated record.